CCCCCGCCAUGGGGAAUCUUCCGCAAUGGGCGAAAGCCUGACGGAGCAAUACCGCGUGAGGGAGGAAGGCUCUUGGGUUGUAAACCUCUUUUCUCAGGGAAGAACACAAUGACGGUACCUGAGGAAUCAGCAUCGGCUAACUCCGUGCCAGCAGCCGCGGUAAUACGGAGGAUGCAAGCGUUAUCCGGAAUGAUUGGGCGUAAAGCGUCCGCAGGUGGCUGUGUAAGUCUGCUGUCAAAGAGCAAAGCUCAACUUUGUAAAGGCAGUGGAAACUACACGGCUAGAGUGCGUUCGGGGCAGAGGGAAUUCCUGGUGUAGCGGUGAAAUGCGUAGAGAUCAGGAAGAACACCGGUGGCGAAGGCGCUCUGCUUGGCCGCAACUGACACUGAGGGACGAAAGCUAGGGGAGCGAAUGGGAUUAGAUACCCCAGUAGUCCUAGCUGUAAACGAUGGAUACUAGGCGUGGCUUGUAUCGACCCGAGCCGUGCCGUAGCUAACGCGUUAAGUAUCCCGCCUGGGGAGUACGCACGCAAGUGUGAAACUCAAAGGAAUUGACGGGGGCCCGCACAAGCGGUGGAGUAUGUGGUUUAAUUCGAUGCAACGCGAAGAACCUUACCAAGGCUUGACAUGUCGCGAACUCUUCUGAAAGGAAGAGGUGCCUUCGGGAGCGCGAACACAGGUGGUGCAUGGCAGUAG
RNAcentral lists this ribosomal RNA (695 nucleotides) under Anabaena iyengarii RPAN11. Its description in RNAcentral is "bacterial SSU rRNA". It matches the Rfam family "Bacterial small subunit ribosomal RNA", at positions 346 to 1054 of the family's 1533-position model. Lineage: Bacteria; Bacillati; Cyanobacteriota; Cyanophyceae; Nostocales; Nostocaceae. The record is from RNAcentral.